Microcebus murinus (gray mouse lemur) is the source of this 9211-nucleotide non-coding RNA. NCBI's taxonomy places the organism in Eukaryota, Metazoa, Chordata, Mammalia, Primates, Cheirogaleidae. The record is from RefSeq and is a predicted model, not a curated record.
UUGUGGGACGCUACGGCAGCCCCAGGAAGCCCAAGCAGGGGGUAUCGGGAUCCUGCAGGAGGGAGGUCUGUCCCCAGGCAAGGGAGCCAGGGGGUCCUCCCUUGCCCGAGGAUCCCUGGUAGCACCGAUGGGGACAGGAGGGAGACCCCAGAGACACAGGAGCCAGAUGGCCGGGCCAGGCUGCAGCUACACGGGCAGGAGGCAGGUGGGGCGGGGGCUCUGGCUGGGAAAGUGUGUGUGUCGUCAGGGCCGUGUGUCCUCAGGUGGGCCAGGUCACAGAGGCAGAGGUGGGAGGGCAGAGCGGGCUGCACGGCUGCCAGGCAGGCAGGCAGCCCUGGCCCUCGACUGGCCACUGCUGUGAGGGAGCCGGGGGUGAUUCUCUCGGCUUCCGGUCAGUUCCAGCCUUACUGAGCCGAGGGGCCCAUGCUCUGCAGGCCACCUUCCGACCCCUCCCUGGUGGCCACACUCCCUGUGCACCAGCAGAGUGGAUGGAGCCUGAGACUGUGGGCGGCCUCUGCAACACAGAAACUCUCCCUCUUCCUCCCGUGUAGACGUGGAGCGGCUGGCAGAAUGAGCUCAUGCAAUCUGGAAGCGCAGCCUCCCUCGUGUCUCCAGGACACGCUACGUCUCCAAGGACUCACCGUCGCAACUCAGAUGCUUGAGAGAGGAAAGGCUGCCGAGAGCCCGGUGUCCAGAGGCAGCCCCUUACCCGUCCCAUCCCCGGGGCAGGCAUAGAGGUAGGCAAUGGCUGAGUGCACCCGCAGGGAGUGACGGGAGGUGUCGGCAUUUCUCCCUGCCGAUGGGCUCCGGGGGACGGAAGGGGAGACAGACCAGGAGGUGGUCCCAGCAACGCCUGGGUCACUUUCCCCACAGCCGCCCCACAGGGUCCAGGGAGCUUAGUGCCGGAACAGACACCUGAGGGGGAGGAGGAGAAGGCUCCCACCUCACUCCCCCCAGGACCUCCCUCCUGGAGCGUCUGUGCAGGGGACAGGCAGCCCACCUCUCAGUACUGCUGCAUCAGGGACUAAGUUUCAACAUGAGCUUUAGAGGGGACAUUCAGACCCUGGCAGGGGUGGCAGGCAUGGAGGAGCCCAGGGGGCCCCGGGCCAGCAGGGCGGGAUGCUAGACUGCAAGAGGCAGGGCUGUGUGACUCCCGAGGGUUCUGGUCCUCACCCCAAGGCUGCAGGGAGACCUGCAGCUUUACAUCUGCAGCUUUACGGGGACCUGUCAAGAAGCCCCAAGGAAGCUCGGCCUGGAUCAGGGAGCCAGGAGGAGGCUGUUAGUAAGGACAGCAGCAGCUGUGACCAUGGCAUACACACCCGACACAGAGCUUACCGUGGCUGGGCCCUGCUCUGAGCAAUUCCCCUGGAAUAAAGCUUUGAAUCCUCACAACAAGCCUGCAAAUGGGCAUUUACAAAAUGAGGAAACUGAGGCACGGAGAAGUUAGGCGAAGGGCUCACGUUUACACAGCCAGAAAGUGGCCAGGCUUGAUCUCAGGCAGGCUGAUGCAGGGGCCGAGGGCUCACCCACCACACCACAGGUUAGGUCCCUGCAGCCUCCAAACCAGCACCGGAGCCCAUCGGCAGCACCGUGGAUUUCCUACCUUACAGUUCUUGAAGCCCAAAGUCCUAAAGCAAGGUGUUAGCCGAGCUGCUGAUACGGUUUGGACGUUUGGCCCCUCCAAAUUUCAAGCUGAGAUGUGAUGGCAGUGUUGGAGGUGGUCACGGGGGUGGAGCCCUUAGUGAGGGCUCGGUGCCGUCCUGGGAGUGAGUAGUUCUGGCUGUGCUAGCUCACGUGACAGCUGGGGGUUUGAAGGAGCCUGGCACCUCCUCCUCCCUUGCUCCUGCCGCGUGACACGCCUGCUGCCCUUCAUGUUCUGCCUCCACUGGGAGCUCCCUGAAGCCCUCACCAGAAGCAGAUGCUGGCGCCGUGCUUCUCGUACAGUCUGCAGAACCGUGAGCCAAACAAACCUCUUUUCCUUAUAAAUUACUCAGCUUCAGGCAUUCCUUUAUAGCAGCGCAAACAGACUAACACAGCUGUGUUCCCUCUGGGGGUGCUGGGGAAAAAUCCCUUCCCGCCUGUACAGCUUCCAGAGGCCUCUGCCUUCCCUGGCCGGUGGGCCCUUCCUCCGCCUCUAAAGCCGCUGCCAUCAUCUUGUCUCCUUCUGUGGCUCUGACCCUCCUGCCUUCCCCUCACGUGGACCCUGGUGGCUACGUGGCCACUGGAGAGUCCAGGAGCAGCUCCCCACCCCAGGGUCAUUGUCCCUUCUGCCAUGGGCAGGUCUGGGGCUCAGGACUCAGGCAUGUCUAGGGGGCCACUGUUCCCUCCUCUACCGACAGGACUAGUGGAUUCACAGUCUGGAGGCAGCAAGGAGAGGAUUCUGGUUGAGUUUUAAGCCUCGACUAGCCGGAGAUGCCACUUGAAGAGAAGGGGGUGUGACAUCGGGGAGGGUUUGGUGUUGGACACAUGGCAUUUGGCCUGGAGACGUCUCGGCGUGUAAGAUGAGGGCACCCACGAUGCCAUCCAGGCCUGGAUGGGUGACCUGAGGUCAUGAGCACAAAGCUGACCUGGAGGUGGUGCAGCCUGGCCGUGGGGCCGCUGCCUGUGCCCUUCGACAGGAGAAUGGCCUUGAGCCCCGGUACUCUCCUCUUUGAGAGUCAUGGACCUCUGCUCUGACCAGGGCGGAGUAACAGGGCCUGGAUUUAGCCUCCUGCCUGAAACAACUGGAAAACUGACAGAACAUAGAAUCAGUGGUUCCUAAGACUUUGAAAACCAAGCAGUGAAGGACAGAGAACCUCGAGGGAUGAGAAAAUGGGGUCAAGACAGCGCCCAUCAUCUAGCCUAGCUGGACUACGAAACGAGACACUUUAUGGCAUAUAGAGGAGUCACAGUGCUUCCUGGGGCUGCGCUAGGGAGACUCGAACCCCCCAUCCUGCCUCUGAGGACACGCAGAGGACACUGGUGCUGCAGCACUAUUUGUGAAAUAAAAGCCUGAAUCACUGAAGCUGCUCAAACAUCCUGUGGCCCAGGCUGGCUGGCUGGCUGGCUGAGGACAUGGGACACUGUGCCGCCGUCUACACUGCCGUCUACACGACAGGCGUGGAGGGCUGUGCAGGGCACGUCCAGUGGAAAAGGAGGGAUGUGAAGAGGAAAACAAGGUUGAACAACUUGAGGUCUGGCUGCCGGUGAGCCCACGCCAUCCUCGGGUCCCCACACACCUCCUUUGCUGGGGGUGCUGGGAGGAUGGGGUGUGACCUUGCAGCACCAAAGGGGCCAGGCUGGCAGCUUGCAGGUCUAGGCCCGGGGGACACUGUUUUGCUGCAGUGGGCAGUCGGCUGGGCAGUGGGAGCCACAGGUACACAGAUGGCUGGCUCACGCCUGGCCCGGAGCUCUGCUUUUGUUAACAGGCCUCCUGUCCGGUCCAGAUGAACUCCCCAGAAACAGCCAAACCAGCCCAAACCUGCAUAGAACAAGCAAAGCGCAGCCAGCGCCCGCCUGGGGGGCGGCCUGCCUAGAGUCCACUCUGGCUCGCUGGUCUCCCCUCCCCGGUGUCCUCGGGCCACCCACGCCACAUUCGAUAGGAGGGAAUGAUGUGUUGGCAGGGGAGGCAGGGAAGAUGGAUUCCUACCCAUGGACAGAGGAGAGUGUGGAUUUGCAGGAGCAGCAGCACGAAGCACGACCCCAUCUCUGCCGGCAUCCACGACUCCCCCGGAAAGUGUGCUGACCCCUGUCUAGGGGUAUGUGAUAAGAGGAUGAACCUCCAGUUUCUGCCCUUGUCUUGCUGGGACCAAAAGCUGUAAUAGUGGCCAAAGCACGAGCUGCAAAAGAAACGCCACCAGCACCUGACACUCUGGAGGACAAGUGUGGUGCAUGACAAAAAUCGUCGGGACGCCAGCUCACAGGCAGCCACAGUGUCCUCAUCCCCACUCAAAGGCCAUGGCUGGUAAGUCACACAGGUGUGGAUAUGUCCAGAUUUGUAGAAAAGUUUUUCUUGUGCAUGAUUCUCACAGUGGUAUUUUUUGGUAUUCAUCUCAGAUUCCCCCAGUACUUUUUUUUUAUCUCCUUAUAAGGCAUGUAAUUAAAUUCAUAACUUUCUGAAAAUGCUGAAAAUCGGCCCAGGGGCUCCUCCACGCAGGCGGCACAUGUCCCUCGGCGAGUGCCGGGCUGGGGGCGGCACAGCCCACACACUGCUGAUGACCCCACAGCCUGGGAACCGCGGGCCUGGGGCAGCAGAGUCCUCUUUCGGUUUCUUCAGCUUCUCCCCAGCACUUCCUCCCACUUAGAGUGUCUGUCUGCCUGUCUGUCCGUCCUGUGGCAGAGAUAAGAUCCAGCCAACGAGGGGAGCUGAACUUGAGACAAACGGCAGGUGGUGAUGCAUUUUAAAGAUGCCUGGAAGCUUCCACGAGGAGCUCUCCUCAUUUACUUCUCAGACACGAAGACACUUGAGAAAUGUUCUCUUUUGAUGUUCUCUCUGCUGAAUUUCAAACACUUCCCUUUCCAUUGAUUUAAAGGGCAUUUUCCUGGUCUCCAGGGGUUGCUUAUUUGGAGGUGAUCUGUCAGCUGUCAGGCUCUCCAGCCAGGGCUGCGGAAGGAGUUUGUUCUGGCUGGACGGGGAGUCAGCCUGCAUCGGACCCCGCUGCAGGGCCGGCUGGGAGCCCCCAGCACUCCGUCUGCUGAACCAGAAGGUGCCACCAGCAGCACAGACGCAGCCAUUGGAGCAAUGCUGGCCUCAGUUUGAAGGUUAUGAAAAACUCACUCCAGGCUCCAAAACGUGUGAUCUAAAUCCAGGGUCAUUUCCUUUGAAAUGUUUCCUCCAACCAGGCUCAGCUGUUGCGCUCUAUUUCGUGGCUUUGUUCAUCUGCUCCCUCGUAAGUGCUACUCAAAGAACAGACCGGUGCCCGUUCCUUCCCGCAGCCCUCCGUGGGGCGCCCUGGCUACGCCGGGGCGGGCUUCCUACACCCCAGUGUCUGUGUCCCGCCUGGCAGGGCCCAGAGGAGGACGGAGGAGCAGAGAGCAGCGAGCACAAGGCCUUUCAUUCAUUGCCCGCUGGACACAUUCCGAACACCACCUGCCACGUGUCUCCACUCGGAACGUCAUUGAAUAGAAAUAACAACGAUGAUAAUGCCAGCGGCUGGGUGAAAACAAUUCCCUUCUGCCCCAGAGGAUCAGAGCUGGAGUGUCCCACUUCGUCCCCCUGUGACUCUGCUGGGUGGUAUUAAAAACUGCAUUUUCAAAAUUGGGAUAUACAGGCGCCAGCUGGUUGGUGAACACACAUCCAGAACAGACGGGGCUGUGAUUUGAUUGACGGCGGAGAUUUCCAGCUCCCUGUUCUCAUCUGGUGGCCACUGCAGCUCCUGGUCCCUCAUCAGUGCUGUGGGUCACUGAGUGCCGGGCAGCCACCAGCACGUCCCCCCAACAGGCUGCUCACACCCCCUUAUGGUGGAGAACGAGGGUAUGAGAGGCGACCCACCCUUCUCUCUCAAGCUUUAACAAUCCAAGCCAAGGUGGGUGCCAAAGUGAGAGCAAAUAAACAUCCACUGAAGACAGGUGGUUUCCACAGACGGCAGGAGAAAGAGAGCACCUGCCUCCAGGUGGGUCGUCCCCAGCGUUCCAUGGACAGCUUACGUCCCUGACAUCCCUGCAAUAGGCAGGUGAGCUGCCAACGAAGGACCCUCCUGGGAAGAGAAGCAGUUUGGUUAUAUCUGGUUGACUCAUCUUUGCUUCUGGGACAAGCAGCUCUUGGAUUCUCAGCGGGCUUGUCUCCUCCUGCUCCAGGCAGUGAGCGAUUGCUGUGACAGUCCAGAAUGGACCAAUUCGUAGGUUCUCAACAUACAGAUCCAUCUCUGCACACAUGAAACCAACCCACCAGCGGAGAUGGUGGCUUGCCAGAGUGGACACACAUGGUGACCAGCAGUCACUGUGCUGGCAGGACACAAAUGGCUGCAGCAGCUCUGUGAUUCAGUCCUGGGGCAAAACUUAUCGUCCUGGGAAGCUGCCAUCGUCUUCCCCAUAAGCUCCAGUCAGUCACAUUGCAAAGGUGGCCCUGGCAGAUGGUGGCACUGGUGCCAUCCCAACCUAAAGGCUUCUCACUGGCCACCAACAUCUUCAUGCACCCACUGGACACCCUCACCUGCCAGCACCUGCCCCUGACGGCAGCUCCUGCGCCAGCCGGUUAGGAACAGCCACAGUUUCCCACCUUGUCACUCUCUACGUUGGUGCAGAUCACCUGGCCCACUGGCCUCUGUGCUGCAGGGAAGCCAGGGGCCCCGCUCUCCCCUCUGUGGGCUGCAGCACCGCCUUGCCAGGUGCGGGGACCUUGGCCGAGAAGCCACAUGUCCUGGGGAGGCCAAGGAAACAAUGAAUGUCAAAGGAUGUUCUCUCCUUCCCCCCCAGCCAGAAUGCUAGAAUGUUCUGUGCUGGCUACCAACGGUGAGGGGUGGGGUGUAGUGGGGUGGCCAGUGCCUCCUGGGACUCUGCAGAGGGGUGCACCCUCCCCACAGAUGCUCGUCUGGAAGUAAGAGGGCUCCAUACGUGUCGAGAGGUCCCCGAUCUGUCGGUCAGGUGGGUGCCCCCUACCCACAGACAGGCGCACACACAACCAAUGCGCCCAAGAACUACGCUGCUGACUUUUUUUUUUUUUUUUGGAUACAGAAAAUGUUUCCAACUUCCAUAAAAAAUGGAAGCAAAAUGUUAGCACUGACAUUUUCAAAGUUUUGAUGAGUUUCUCCUUUACCCUGAGGACCGUCUCUGGUUCCUGGACAGGAAGGCCCCAUCGCAGGUGUGCCCAUCCCACGCUGUCGCCACCGGCCCUGGAUGCUCCUGGGAUGGCAAGGACAGGCUGGUGCCGCUGCUGGCUGUGCGACUCUGCCCUGCCACCUCUCGGCUUAGCCAUGCUCUGCCUACGACUUCGACCGACUUCACUAGCUUAGCUGUGAUGUCCCUCCACAACCACUUUCCAGCCACAGAACCAUCUAGAAAUGUAAGAAGAACUGAAGAGUUCCUCCUAGUCACCGUUUAAACGGUUCCAUGGAAUGUCCUCUUGGACUAGCAUGAGCUGUAGCAUCCUGGCAGCACCUGAGCGUGGGGCCCGGGCUAGGUAAGGAGCGCCCCUCCCUCCCCAGGCCACGUGAGCCACGAGCUCCUGUGGCAGCCACAGCCAGCCCGGGAUGUGGGUGAUGGGUCCAGGCUGGGCCAGAGCACAGUUACCCCAAACCACUGGGUCUGACCCAGAGGACUUUAAACUGAAUGUAUGCAAGAGGAAGUUUUUGUUUGUUUGUUUUCAAGAAAUAAGAUGAGGGAGGAGAGCAGACACAACACAAAAAGAAGAGCAGUGUGGUGGAAGGUGCCCAGCAGUUUCCAGGAAAAAUAAUAGGAAGUAGCUGUCCAGCCCUGGAACCUCUGCCCUGACCCCGAGCAGGGUAAGAACCCUCUCAGCAUGGAGUGACGGGGCCUGACUGCCAUGAGAGGGAGGCAACCUGUCCCGAAACCCACAUCAUUGCGGAAAUCCAGGAAGCCAAGGGUGCCAGCUGGGGGCCAGGGCUCACAGUUUAAAAAGAAGGCAACAAAUGACUCUUUUCAGAGAUGGGCCAUUCAGACGACAAAUACUGAUUGGGGAAACCUACCACGCCCCGGCUCUGAACAAAGACCCCGUUCUGAAGGAGCUGCUAUUUCAGUGUGGACCGAAGCACGCGGGGAUCUUUGCACAGAGCCAAUUCCGGCAUAAAAGGUGUGGGUGGUGCCCUCGUUCCUGCAUUUCUACAAGCUCCCAGGAGGGACACAGACGGGAGGCUGUUCCUGAAGACCCCACUCCAGCAGCAAGCUUCUAAAACAGUGCUAGCAGGCUCAGCUUCACAACAGAAGUGCCCUCCUUGGGAACCCCCCAGGGCAGCAGACACGUGUGUCCUGGAGACUCCUGCUGGCCUCUGCCUUCACUUGCUGCUCCCAGCCCAUGCUGGUCAUUGGCCUGUUGGGUCUUAGAGCCUCACAAACUCAGGAAUGGGUGAGGAAUGGCCUUUAUUUGCCUGAAAUUCCCAUUGGAAGAAACCUUGGGAGCUUCUGCCUCACUGAGCUAGGCAGGCAAAGACAGCUAGGAUGUGCUUUGAUCGACAUUUCUUUAGGAGAUUAAGUCCUCGGUAGGGUGGUAGAGAAGGAAGGAUUCCCUUCAACCCUGCCCCCUGACUUUCCUCGUAGACCGCCCGCAUCCCAGAGGUUGUGUGUGGCAAACACCUACUGCCUUUGAGGAGAAAGUCUACCAAAACCAGAGCGCCUGCUGGUCAGAACCAAGUGGCCUGGUGACAACCCCUGGCCAAGCACAUCUGAGAUCCACCUUCAUCCCCACACAUGCUCAUCCUACCCUUAUUACAACAACCGUCUGAGGCCACAGCAACAUGGCCAUUUUACAGAUGAAGAGACUGAGGGUCAGAGAGGUUCAGUGACGUGUUCUAAGUCACACCAUGAACAAGCAGCACGAUGGCCACUGCCCGCAGGUUUUCUGCUACAUCUCAUCAGAUCUCAUCACUGCAGGGCACAGAGGGCCUUCUCAUCUUGCUACAUCUCUGGGUUAAAAUGAUGACUGCAUUCACCGAGAACCACCUCAUUUCUCAGCUGGGUCCAAGAGCGGAUGUGAAAAACUGCAAUGACUGAAACCCUAAUGGCAACCCAAUACACUUUCCCUGAAGUGGCGUAUUUAAGAAGAGGUGAACUCAUGAACCGUGUUGCAAAUUUAGCAAUAAGAAAUACAAACGAACAAUAGAGAGUUUCAACCACACACCCAUUCCCUUCUACAUAUGAAAGGGUCUAUGGAAGCAUGCAUUUGCCCUCCUGAGUUUGUUUUUUGUCCCCUGAUGAAGCUGCAAUCCCAACACCCAGUCUAUUUAGGCCUGGCCAGCCCCAGGCGUCUGAGUACCCAGAGGCUGCUCCUUGCUCCCCCUCCCACAUUCAGGCUCUGUCCCCAGCGUGGUGGUUGUCCCUCCCCUGAAAGCUGGGGUUAUCUCAGACGAGCUCCCCUGCCCUGCACAGUUUAUGGAAACUCACUCUCCGAAUGAUGGUUUUCAUCCACACCGAAUGAAACCUGAGACUAUUCCAAAUUGCUUCUUUUAAGAGCAGGCGUCCUCAAUCUAUGGCCCGCCGAGGACGUUUAUCCAGCCUGUCGGGUGUUUUUGCCACCGCUGCCUGUCCUGCUUAGCAGCGGACUCGUCCCAGGCCCACAGUG